AAAUUGAAGAGUUUGAUCAYGGCUCAGAUUGAACGCUGGCGGCAGGCCUAACACAUGCAAGUCGAGCGGCAGCGGGAAAGUAGCUUGCUACUUUUGCCGGCGAGCGGCGGACGGGUGAGUAAUGCCUGGGGAUCUGCCCAGUCGAGGGGGAUAACAGUUGGAAACGACUGCUAAUACCGCAUACGCCCUACGGGGGAAAGGAGGGGACCUUCGGGCCUUUCGCGAUUGGAUGAACCCAGGUGGGAUUAGCUAGUUGGUGGGGUAAUGGCUCAC
RNAcentral lists this ribosomal RNA (273 nucleotides) under Aeromonas salmonicida subsp. salmonicida. RNAcentral describes it as "partial 16S ribosomal RNA". It matches the Rfam family "Bacterial small subunit ribosomal RNA", at positions 1 to 268 of the family's 1533-position model. The record is from RNAcentral. Lineage: Bacteria; Pseudomonadati; Pseudomonadota; Gammaproteobacteria; Aeromonadales; Aeromonadaceae.